This 2036-nucleotide long non-coding RNA is filed under the name Carica papaya (papaya). Its description in RNAcentral is "long non-coding RNA (CPAP_LNC016535)". Lineage: Eukaryota; Viridiplantae; Streptophyta; Magnoliopsida; Brassicales; Caricaceae. The record is from RNAcentral.
UGAGACACAAAGAAUUCUACUUUCUUCGAAGAAAUCAAAAAGCUCUUCCUUAAACACGGACGCAAAUUUAUUUUCAAACAAUAAAUCAAUUUCCUCUCACUUUCAAUAAAAUAAAUUAAGGCACUUUUACUGACGAACAAAAACAAAUCUAGUUACCUAGUAUGGUUUAAAAAUGAAGAACGCCAGCCAUUCUCACAUAAGAUGAAUAUCCCGAUAACCAAACAUUCAUAUUUAAUGUUUGUGCUAAUUUGUCAACUCUAUAUAAGAAAGUUAGCUGACUCUUCAAGACAAAAUGUGUCAUCAAAGUAACUUUUUCUUUCAAAAUAAUAUAUUGAGACAUAUUUACUUGCUUGCUUACAUUCCAAAUUGGGACACCGUAAAAAUUUAUUUUUCAAUGAAAUGAAAGAAGCAUGAAACUUAAGCGAUACCAAAAAUUUUUUACUUGAAGUCAGAAGAUCCAGCCACAUUUUUUUUUAAGUUAAAACUACUGGACGGACACAAAGAAUUCAAUUAUCUCCGAAAAAAUCGAAAACCAUUUUCGUGGGUUCAAAAUGAAGAACGAUAACCUUUCUCACAUAAGAUAUAUAUUUCGAUAACCAAACAUUCAUGUUUUAUGUCUGCGUUAAUUUCUCAACUCUGUGAGAAAGUUUGUCAUCUCUUCAAGAAAAAGUGUGACAUCAAAGAAAUUUUUUCUUUCAAACUAAUAUAGUGGAACAUAUUUACUUGCUUGCUCACUUUUCAAACUGGGACAUUGUAAAAAAUCAUUUUUAAACGAAAGAAGCAAGAAACUUAAAAAGAUAGAAAAAAAUAUUUACUUGCAAUUAGAAGAUCCAGUUGUUUUUGUUUUAAGUUCAAACUAUCAGUGAGACACAAGGAAUUUUCCUUUCUCUGAAGAAAUUGAAAAGUUCGUCCUUAGACACGGACGCAAAUUUAUUUUCAAACAAUAAAUCAAUUUGCUCUCACUUUUACUAAAAUAAAUUAAGGCACUUUUACUAACGAACAAAAUAAAUCUAGUUACGUGAUGUGGCUUCAAAAUGAAAAACAACACUUUUCACAUAAGAUGAAUAUCCCUAUAACCAAACAUUCAUGUUUUAGGUCUACGCUAAUUUAUCAACACUAUAUGAGAAAGUUAGCCGACUCUUCAAGAUAAAGUGUGUUAUCAAAGUAACUUUUUCUUUCAAACUAAUAUAUUGAGACAUAUUUACUAACUUGUUUACGUUCCAAAUUGGGACACCGUAAAAAUUUAGUUUUCAAUGAAAGAAGCAAGAAACUUAGAGCAACACUAAAAAAUAUUUACUUGAAGUCAAAAGAUCCAAUCACAUUUUUUUUUAGUUCAAAGUACCGAACGGACACAAAGAAUUCAAUUGUCUCCGAAAAAAUCGAAAACCUUUUCCGUGGGUUCAAAAUGAAGAACUACAACUGUUCUCAGAUAAGAUAAAUAUCCCGAUAACCAAGCAUCCAUGUUUUACGUCUGCGCUAAUUUGCUAACUCUAUGUGAGAAAAUUUGCCGACUCCUCAAGAGAAAGUGUGUCAUCAAAGUAACUUUUUCUUUCAAACUAAUGUAUAGGAUCAUAUUUACUUGCUUGCUCACUUUUCAAACCGGGACAUUGUAAAAAAUCAUUUUUAAACGAAAGAAGCAAGAAACUUAAAACAAUACAAAAAAAUAUUUACUUGCAAUUAGAAAAUCCAGCUAUUUUUAUUUUAAGCUCAAACUACCAGUGAGACACAAGGAAUUCUACUUUCUCCGAAGAAAUCGAAAAGUUCUUCCUUAAACACGGAUACAAAUUUAUUUUCAAACAAUAAAUCAAUUUCCUCUCACUUUCAAUAAAAUAAAUUAAGGCACUUUUACUGAUGAACAAAAACAAAUCUAGUUACCUGAUGUGGCUUCAAAAUGAAGAACGACAACUAUUCUCACAUAAGAUGAAUAUCUCGAUAACAAAACAUCCAUGUUUUAUGUUUGAGCUAAUUUGUCAACUCUAUGUGAUAAAGUUGGACGACUCUUCAAGACAAAGUGUGUCAUCAAAGUAACUUUUUCU